AUGGUGAGCUGGCCCGACAUUUGCAAACCCAAAGACCAGGGUGGCCUUGGGAUCCUGUCAUCCCGACGCAUGAACAUUGCCCUCCUAACCCGAUGGCUGUGGCGUAUUGCCAAUGGGGAGGGAGACCUCUGGCUCACCAUCAUCCGUAAUAAGUACCUCCGUGGCCAACCUCUUGCCUUUUGCCAACGUACGGUUGGAUCCCAGUUCUGGCAGUCCGUGAUCUAG
Molecule: ribosomal RNA, 225 nt
Filed under: Triticum aestivum (bread wheat)
Lineage: Eukaryota; Viridiplantae; Streptophyta; Magnoliopsida; Poales; Poaceae
Description: partial small subunit ribosomal RNA
Source: RNAcentral